UAUGAUAUAUGACUCCAUCAUCAUUAAAUGUUAGUUUACAUGCUGUGCCGACGAAUUUUAUUUGAACUAAACCCUGCACAAUCUUCAUGAUAAAGUUUUCUUGCUCAAGAGUUUUACCAUGCGACUUAGUGCAAUUACUAGACCAGUUUCCUGCAAACCAAGAUUAAAGCCAAAAUAGAUCAUGUUUUCUUCUACUUGGUAAUGGUCCUUACAAGC
This 216-nucleotide long non-coding RNA is filed under the name Elaeis guineensis (African oil palm). RNAcentral describes it as "long non-coding RNA (EGUI_LNC007316)". The record is from RNAcentral. Lineage: Eukaryota; Viridiplantae; Streptophyta; Magnoliopsida; Arecales; Arecaceae.